CAGACUUAGAGAGAAGGCGGCGAGAGUCUCCUAAGCUCCAGAAGCGGAGCUCGCUAUUCACCAAAGCGGUUUGCGCCGCCGCCGUGACGUCAAUGCCAUAGGGCGCCCGUGGGCUUUACGCCGCUGGCGCAAAGGCGUUGCUCUUUGCCUGCUGGGGAGGAGAGGGACAGAAAGAGGCUUAAAGAGACAACAGCGAGCCAUGGAAGGGCUGGGGGGAAAGAGACCUUUGGGUCCCCACCCUUGAAGAGCCCGGACGGGGGGAAAGAAGCUCAGUUGCUAAUAAAAAUGUCGAAGAGUCCUGGAUGCAGGGUUUUACCUCAUUUUAAUUUGAAGAGAAACACUGAAGUCCUAGGUCCAUGAUGGCGAACCUAUGGUACAUGUGCCG
RNAcentral lists this long non-coding RNA (385 nucleotides) under Naja naja (Indian cobra). RNAcentral describes it as "lncRNA (ENSNNAG00000000587.1)". The record is from RNAcentral. Lineage: Eukaryota; Metazoa; Chordata; Lepidosauria; Squamata; Elapidae.